This 776-nucleotide ribosomal RNA is filed under the name Sarcocystis sp. RNAcentral's name for it is "SSU rRNA". It matches the Rfam family "Eukaryotic small subunit ribosomal RNA", at positions 281 to 1053 of the family's 1831-position model. Lineage: Eukaryota; Apicomplexa; Conoidasida; Eucoccidiorida; Sarcocystidae. The record is from RNAcentral.
UGGCUGGCGAUAGAUCAUUCAAGUUUCUGACCUAUCAGCUUUCGACGGUAGUGUAUUGGACUACCGUGGCAGUGACGGGUAACGGGGAAUUAGGGUUCGAUUCCGGAGAGGGAGCCUGAAAAACGGCUACCACAUCUAAGGAAGGCAGCAGGCGCGCAAAUUACCCAAUCCUGACUCAGGGAGGUAGUGACAAGAAAUAACAACACUGGAAAUUUUAUUUCUAGUGAUUGGAAUGAUGGGAAUUUAAACCCCUUUCAGAGUAACAAUUGGAGGGCAAGUCUGGUGCCAGCAGCCGCGGUAAUUCCAGCUCCAAUAGCGUAUAUUAAAGUUGUUGCAGUUAAAAAGCUCGUAGUUGGAUAUCUGCUGGAAGCAAUCAGUCCGCCCUAUUUGUAGGGUGUGCACUUGAUGAAUUCUGGCAUCUAUGUCCCGAUAAUAUAACGUGGAGGUCGUCCUCCCGUUUAUUGGGAACAUACUGUUACUUUGAGAAAAUUAGAGUGUUUGAAGCAGGCUAAUUGCCUUGAAUACUGCAGCAUGGAAUAACAAUAUAGGAUUUCGGUUCUAUUUUGUUGGUUUCUAGGACUGAAAUAAUGAUUAAUAGGGACAGUUGGGGGCAUUCGUAUUUAACUGUCAGAGGUGAAAUUCUUAGAUUUGUUAAAGACGAACUACUGNGAAAGCAUUUGCCAAAGAUGUUUUCAUUAAUCAAGAACGAAAGUUAGGGGCUCGAAGACGAUCAGAUACCGUCGUAGUCUUAACCAUAAACUAUGCCGACUAGAGAU